RNAcentral lists this ribosomal RNA (497 nucleotides) under uncultured bacterium. RNAcentral describes it as "partial 16S ribosomal RNA". It matches the Rfam family "Bacterial small subunit ribosomal RNA", at positions 28 to 507 of the family's 1533-position model. The record is from RNAcentral.
GAUGAACGCUGGCGGCGUGCCUAAUACAUGCAAGUCGAACGAACAUACGAGGAGCUUGCUCCGCUGACGUUAGCGGCGGACGGGUGAGUAACACGUGGAUAACCUACCUAUAAGACUGGGAUAACUUCGGGAAACCUGAGCUAAUACCGGAUGAUUUAUUGAACCGCAUGGUUCAAUAGUGAGAGACGGUUUUUCGUUCACUUAUAGAUGGACCCGAGCCGCAUUAGCUAGUUGGUAAGGUAACGGCUUACCAAGGCAACGAUGCGUAGCCGACCUGAGAGGGUGAUCGACUACCCUGGCACUGAGACACGGCCCAGACACCUACGGGAGGACGCAGCCGGGACUCUUCCGGAAUGGGGGAAAGCGUGACGGAGCAAAGCCGCGUGAGUGCUGACGGUCUUCGGAUCGUAAAACUCUGUUAGUCGGGAAGAAGAAAUGUGUAAGUAACUAUGACCGUAUUGACGGUACCUAAUCAGAAAGCCACGGCUAACUACGUG